AGCAGCCGCGGUAAUUCCAGCUCCAAUAGCGUAUAUUAAAGUUGUUGCAGUUAAAAAGCUCGUAGUUGAAUUUCGGGAUCGAAUUGUCGGUCGUGCUUCGGUACGCACUGGCAUUAUCGGUUCCUACCUUCUGAAGAACCGCGAUGUCAUUAAUUUGGUGUCGUGGGGAAUCAGGACUGUUACUUUGAAAAAAUUAGAGUGUUUAAAGCAGGCUUACGCUUGAAUACAUUAGCAUGGAAUAAUGAAAUAGGACGUUUGAUUCUAUUUUGUUGGUUCCUAGGAUCGACGUAACGAUUAAUAGGGAUAGUUGGGGGCAUUAGUAUUCAAUUGUCAGAGGUGAAAUUCUUGGAUUUAUUGAAGACUAACUACUGCGAAAGCAUUUGCCAAGGAUGUUUUCAUUAAUCAAGAACGAAAGUUAGGGGAUCGAAGACGAUCAGAUACCGUCGUAGUCUUAACCAUAAACUAUGCCGACUAGGGAUCGGAUGAUGUUAAUUUUAUAAUGACUC
This 506-nucleotide ribosomal RNA is filed under the name uncultured Glomeromycotina. Its description in RNAcentral is "SSU rRNA". It matches the Rfam family "Eukaryotic small subunit ribosomal RNA", at positions 569 to 1077 of the family's 1831-position model. The record is from RNAcentral. Lineage: Eukaryota; Fungi; Glomeromycota.